Non-coding RNA from Monodelphis domestica (gray short-tailed opossum), 1661 nucleotides. Lineage: Eukaryota; Metazoa; Chordata; Mammalia; Didelphimorphia; Didelphidae. The record is from RefSeq and is a predicted model, not a curated record.
UGAGAGGUGGAGUCUCCUGCACAGAGACUCUGGGGCUUCUGGGGCCUGACCAAGGACACUGCGGAAGCUGGUGUCAGUCCCGGGGCCUUUGAGGCUCCUUUCCUGGGUUCACCCUCAUGUCAGAAGGAUGGAAGGUCCUAGAGGCCGCGAGGCUAAGGCUAUAUGGAAGUCACCGCUUAAAAAGGAGACCUCACCCCAGUUGGCCUAGAGGAACUAUCAACACCCAAAGAUGCCAAUAACAGAUUUGCUCUGACCCUUCUUUCCAGGCUUCUUACAUUGGAACUAGACUAAAAGAAUCCCUGAAACUUCCAAUUCCAGAACUGACUAAAAGGAAGACAAAUGGGUCAGGUAUACAUACUACACCUAUGCCAGAGCUGUGAAUUUAUGAAGGUUAAUUUGGAGUCUCACUCUAGUUUCUGAUACUUGAAAGUAUUUGAAAGUAAUCUUGGAACCUUUAGGCAGAGUUUUGAGAAGGCACUGAAUGUCUCAAGGAAGUCACACAACUGUAAAGACUGUGUUUGAUAUAGAUUUCUGUCAAGUGAUCUAGACUGCUUCAUCAGUGUAGCAAAGAUGUUGAUUCUCCAGCAUCACUGUCAUCACUGUGUCAAGAUACUGACAAGGAGUCAGGCCAAGUCACAGAAACCAUCACAUAAAAUGGAAACUUCAUCCCAGUCUGCCCAGAGGAACCAUCAGGAUCCAGAGACGCCAAUAACAGAUUUGCCCUUGUCCUACUUUUUAAUCUCUUCAAAUUCUUGAAACUACAAAAAUAUCCCCAAGUAUCUGCCAAUUCCAGAACUGACUAAAAGGAAGACAAAUGGGUCAGGUGUGCAUACUACACCCAUGCCAGAGCUGUGGAUUUAUAGUGGUUAUUUGGAAUCACUAUUAGGAUUCUGAUAUUUGCAAAUAUUUGCAAAUAAUCUUUGAUCCCUGAGGCAGAACUUUGAGAUGGUACUGUCUAGAGGAAGUCAAACAUCUGUACAGAUUAUGUUUGAUACUAAUUUCAGUCACAGGAUGUAGAUUGGCCCAUCACUGCAACAAGAUGUUAAUUAUAUCUCUAGGAUCACUGUUAUGACUGUGUCAAGAUACUGACAAGGAGAUGGGCCAUUUCAUAGGUAUGAUAGUAGCUUGUCUAUUCAUAGCCUAUUUAACAGAAUUUCCUGAUUUUCUAAAGACUGGGGAUAGGGUCUAUCUUUAGAUAUUGCAGCUAUGAUUUUAUUGGUAUGGGGAAUUCCUGGUUGAGAAGAUUCUCUCUAUGUGUGCAUGUAUUAAUUUACCUUCUUUCCAACUUGUAUUCUUAAAAAAUUACCUAAAGGACUAAGAAGUAAAAUGAUUGGCCAGGAUCAAAAUACCCAAAAGUGCCCAAACUUAAACUUGUAUUUUAGUGUUGAGGCCAGCUUUCUGUCCAUUAUUCCAUGCCUCCUAUUUAAAAGCAAAACAAACCACAUUUUUGCAUGUGCGUGUGCUGAUUUUCUGAGUGUGAAGAGGUAACUCCAGUUUAUUUUCAUUUCUAUUUUUCAUAGUAGUAGUAAUUCUGAACAAAUUUUCAUGUACUGGUUUUGAAAAUUUAACACUAACCUGUACCCCUAUCUUUGCUACCUCAAAGAUUUUCUUUGAAUUUUAAAAGGGGUGAAUUUUAAUAUAAAGUUUGAAAUUACAACUUA